GCAGGAACUGUCAUCAGGUAUGGCUUGGCUUCUAGCCAAGAGUGUGAGUUCUAGCUUUUUUCCAAUAGAGCUGCUAUAAUGUAUAGAUUGGCUUUAAGGCUUGUUCUGUUUCCUUCUGCAUGUAAACCAUUUCAACAAGAACCAAACACCCCGGCCAAAAAAACCAAAACCCUGAAGCAAAGGAGGUGAAGCAAGAGUACUGAACUGUGCACUUCCAAGGAGGUGAAGCAAGAGUACUGAACUGUGCACUUCCAAGAGUUUGGCUGAGAGAGAAUGACCCAGCUAAACAAUGCAGCAACUUUAUGGCUGGAGAAAAAUUGAACCCAGAUCUGGCGAGUCUAAAGUUGUCUUUUUAACCAAGAAUAAAGACUGGUUGAAAUAAGCAGAGUUGCCUUGAGUUAGGAUGUUGCCAGUCAGUGGAAAAAGCAGCCACCCAUCAGGGCAGUGAAACAGACGGAUGUCAUAUUAUGUCUCCAGCUUCCCACAAAGCAAAAAUUCCCUAGCUUGACGCCUGAGAUAGCAAGCAGAUGCCGGCUGUUCUUUGGACAAUGGGAGAUCAGGGGAGAAGUAAUGGUGUUACAUCCUGAAUACAGACCAGCAUCCAUUCUUAUACGAAAGAAGUGAUCUGAGGGGAAAUUAGCCUGAAGUACUUAAGACUCAUCCAUUCUUCCCCGGAUAUUCCUCGUCUUGUUUACUCAGUUAACAUGAAUCAUACUGUUCUGUACUGUUAUACUGUUUUUAGUAUAAAUUGUUCUAACAUACUAACAAUAAGAAUAUAAUAAUUUAUACUACUUGUAGCAGUGACAGAAGCACUCUAGGAUUCUGAAAUAGAUCUAAGGCUUUGCUGGGAAGUUCCCUGGUGCCAGGAGAUGGAAAGGGAGAAAGGGAGAAUAUUCAUCACGGAGAAAGAGAACAGAAGCCACAGAUUUGCAUACAAUUUGCAAAAGCAAUGUAUAUGUACACAUGCAAAUUAAACACUACAGUGUACAUAGAAAUAAAAUACAUAUCUUCACUCUGAGGAAUUGAUGAGCAUGAGGGUCAUCUUUCUGGAUCAGGCCAAAGCCCAUCUUAAUGCAGUAUUUUUUUGUUGGUGGCUCAGUGGGUAACACUAAGCAUGUCAAUCAGAAAGCU
Thamnophis elegans (Western terrestrial garter snake) is the source of this 1131-nucleotide long non-coding RNA. RefSeq lists it as uncharacterized. Lineage: Eukaryota; Metazoa; Chordata; Lepidosauria; Squamata; Natricidae. The transcript is spliced from 7 exons. The record is from RefSeq and is a predicted model, not a curated record.